This 254-nucleotide unclassified non-coding RNA is filed under the name uncultured Patescibacteria group bacterium. Its description in RNAcentral is "contains 16S-23S intergenic spacer region". It matches the Rfam family "Bacterial small subunit ribosomal RNA", at positions 524 to 776 of the family's 1533-position model. The record is from RNAcentral.
UACGGAGGAUCCAAGCGUUAUCCGGAAUUACUGGGCGUAAAGAGUUGCGUAGGUGGCAUGGUAAGUUGGUAGUGAAAUUGUGUGGCUCAACCACGCGUCCAUUACCGAAACUGCCAAGCUAGAGGGCGAGAGAGGUAGCUGGAAUUCCUAGUGUAGGAGUGAAAUCCGUAGAUAUUAGGAGGAACACCGAUGGCGUAGGCAGGCUACUGGCUCGUCCCUGACACUAAGGCACGAAAGCGUGGGGAGCGACCGGG